AAUAGAUACCCGGGUAGUCCACGCCGUAAACGAUGAGUGCUAAGUGUUAGAGGGUUUCCGCCCCUUUAGUGCUGAAGUUAACGCAUUAAAGCACUCCGCCUGGGGAGUACGACCGCAAGGCUGAAACUCAAAGGAAUUGACGGGGGCCCGCACAAGCGGUGGAGCAUGUGGUUUAAUUCGAAGCAACGCGAAGAACCUUACCAGGUCUUGACAUCCUCUGACAACCCUAGAGAUAGGGCUUCUCCUUCGGGAGCAGAGUGACAGGUGGUGCAUGGUUGUCGUCAGCUCGUGUCGUGAGAUGUUGGGUUAAGUCCCGCAACGAGCGCAACCCUUGAUCUUAGUUGCCAUCAUUAAGUUGGGCACUCUAAGGUGACUGCCGGUGACAAACCGGAGGAAGGUGGGGAUGACGUCAAAUCAUCAUGCCCCUUAUGACCUGGGCUACACACGUGCUACAAUGGACGGUACAAAGAGCUGCAAGACCGCGAGGUGGAGCUAAUCUACAUAAAACCGUUCUCAGUUCGGAUUGUAAGGCUGCUAACCG
Molecule: ribosomal RNA, 541 nt
Filed under: uncultured bacterium
Lineage: Bacteria
Description: bacterial SSU rRNA
Rfam family: Bacterial small subunit ribosomal RNA
Source: RNAcentral